CCUCGUGUCAGUUCUGUGGUAGUGUGAGUCUUAUUGUCCAUCUCCUCGUGUCAGUUCUGUGGUAGUGUGAGUCUUAUUGUCCAUCUCCUCGUGUCAGUUCUGUGGUAGUGUGAGUCUUAUUGGCUGUUUGGUGAGGAGGGUUCACAUUUCCAUGGGCACUGGAUUUCUGCUUCUAAGCCCACAGGUGCGGGCAGGGCCUUAAUACCACAUGGCUCGUUAGUGCUCGUUAAGGCUUGUUACAGCUUUUUUAAUUAGGCCCUCUCACCGUGUGUCCAGCUCAUUCCAUUUGUGAUGACUCACCCCUCAUCUCAUCAUGGAGCCCUUUCUGAUACACACACACACACACACACACACACACAAAAUAUAUGUCUGUGCGCACACGCACACACACACUUGUAUAUACACACACUCGUACACACAGAAAUAGACACACUUAUCCAAUACAUCAUCUCAGGAGACAUCUAUUUUCUUUCCUUGCAGUUUCGUUCAUUACUUGCCUCUUCAAAUCACAGUAGUCUCAUCAAAACUAAUUUCCUUCAAUCGCACAGUAAUAGAGGAGAGCACUGGAGAAAGAUGGAACAUUGCAGAGAGAGAUUGAGGGAAAAAGAGAGAGUGAGGGAGAGAGAGAGGGGGGAGAGAGGGAGAUGAAGAAAGAAUGACAGAGAGAUAUGAAAAGAGGACAACUGACAAAGAGUAAGAGGGGCAUGAUGGAGAAAAUGACAGAGUGAGGACAUGGAGAGAAGAUGAAAGUGGAGAGUGAAGGUCUUAAUACGAAGAUGACGAGUGUGUGUGUGUGUGUGUGUGUGUGUGUGUGUGUGUGUGAGUAUGUGUGUUCAUGUGACUGGCUGUGUGUGUGUGUGUGCGUGUGCGUGUGCGUGUGCGUGUGUGUGUGUGUGUGUGUGUGUGUGUGUGUGUGUGUGUGUGUGUGUGUGUCUGAGUGUCUGGUUGUGCAAGUGUGUAUCUGUCUGUCCGUGUGUGUGAGAGAGAGAGAGUGAGUAUGGAUGAGUGUGUGUCUGUGUGAGUGUGUUCAAAUGAUGUAUUCGUACGUGCAUGCAUAUGAGUGUGUGUGUAAGUGUGAGCAUGUGCAUCUGAACAUGGACGUAUGGUCUUCACUAAGGACCACCUUGCCUUGAGCUCCGUACAUUCACAGACUGGCUGCACUAUCUCAGUCCCUGAUAUGAAGCCUUGCAUGGGUCUCUUUCUCAUUACUAGCCCAGUAGGGGACCGUGGCAGAUUGUGUGAGUGUGUGUGUGCGAUAUCAGGGCCUGUCCCAGCUAUUCUAGGCCCGGUGCCCUCUGUGCCAACGGAAUCAGCGCUAAGGUGAAGAUGAGAGCUACCUGCGAAGCGCAGCAGAGGGAGGAGAGGUGAAAGGGGGCGGCUGGGAGGAUGGAUGAUUAGAUGGCCAUCACUCUGGCAGAAAAAUGUGUGUGACCUCAAAGGGUAUUUUUUUCUGUAAGCUUCAUUGGGUCUUUUCAUGUUCCACCUUUUCCUUUUCCUUCUCUCUCUCUCUCUCUCUCUCUCUCUCUUUCACAGAGGCUCACUCAUAUCCACAUACACAUACUCUCUUUCUCUCUCUCUCUUUCUCGCACACACACACACACACAUACACACACACACACACACACACACACACACCGGCCACUUCCUCUCAAAGUGUCUGAUUAGAUAUUGUCAGUUGAUGCCAGAGCACUGAUGCUAUUUUCCUUUGAUGAUCUUUUUAACUCUUCCUCCCCCUCACUUUCUGCCCUAUCUAUCUAUCUAUCUAUCUAUCUAUCUAUCUAUCUAUCUAUCUAUCUAUCUAUCCAUCUAUCUAUCUACCCAUCUAUCUAUCUAUCUAUCCAUCUAUCUAUCUACAGUAUCUAUCUAUCUAUCUAUCUAUCCAUCUAUCUAUCCAUCUAUCUAUCUAUCUAUCUAUCUAUCUAUCUACCCAUCUAUCUACAGUAUCUAUCUAUCUAUCUAUCUAUCUAUCUAUCUAUCCAUCUAUCUAUCUACCCAUCUAUCUAUAUAUCUACCCAUCUACAGUAUCUAUCCAUCUACCCAUCUAUCUGUCUAUCUAUCUAUCCAUCCAUCCAUCUAUCUAUCUAUCUAUCUAUCUAUCCAUCUAUCUAUCUAUCUACCCAUCUAUCUAUAUAUCUACCCAUCUACAGUAUCUAUCCAUCUACCCAUCUAUCUGUCUAUCUAUCCAUCCAUCCAUCCAUCUAUCUAUCUAAUUUUCUUUUCACUCUCUUCUCUACUUCCCCUCUCCUCCACUCCUUUAUUCAUCUUCCUGCUUUCUCUUUUUUUUCCUUUUUCCUUUUUUCUUACCCUCAGGUGGUGUCUCUUACUUUCCCUGAAUGAUCUCCUUGUCACAGUAUUGAUCUCUGUCUCACAGUAUUGAUCUCCUUCUCACAGUAUUGAUUAUUGAUCUCCUUCUCACAGUAUUGAUGAUUGAUCUCUGUCUCACAGUAUUGAUCUCUGUCUCACAGUAUUGAUCUCCUUGUCACAGUAUUGAUCUCUGUCUCACAGUAAUGAUCUCUGUCUCACAGUAUUGAUCUCUGUCUCACAGUAAUGAUCUCUGUCUCACAGUAAUGAUCUCUGUCUCACAGUAUUGAUCUCUGUCUCACAGUAUUGAUCUCUGUCUCACAGUAAUGAUCUCUGUCUCACAGUAUUGAUCUCUGUCUCACAGUAUUGAUUAAUGAUCUCUGUCUCACAGUAAUAAUCUCCUUCUCACAGUAAUGAUCUCUGUCUCACAGUAUUGAUCUCUGUCUCACAGUAUUGAUUAAUGAUCUCUGUCUCACAGUAAUAAUCUCCUUCUCACAGUAUUGAUCUCUGUCUCACAGUAUUGAUUAAUGAUCUCUGUCUCACAGUAAUAAUCUCCUUCUCACAGUAUUGAUCUCUGUCUCACAGUAUUGAUUAAUGAUCUCUGUCUCACAGUAUUGAUCUCCUUCUCACAGUAUUGAUCUCUGUCUCACAGUAAUGAUCUCUGUCUCACAGUAAUGAUCUCUGUCUCUGAAUGAUCUCUGUCUCACAGUAUUGAUUAAUGAUCUCUGUCUCACAGUAUUGAUCUCCUUCUCACAGUAUUGAUCUCUGUCUUACAGUAUUGAUCUCUGUCUCACAGUAUUGAUCUCUGUCUCACAGUAUUGAUCUCUGUCUCACAGUAUUGAUCUCUGUCUCACAGUAAUGAUCUCUGUCUCUGAAUGAUCUCUGUCUCACAGUAUUGAUUAUUGAUCUCUGUCUCACAGUAUUGAUCUCCUUCUCACAGUAUUGAUCUCUGUCUUACAGUAUUGAUCUCUGUCUCACAGUAUUGAUCUCUGUCUCACAGUAUUGAUCUCUGUCUCACAGUAAUAAUCUCCUUCUCACAGUAUUGAUCUCUGUCUCACAGUAUUGAUUAAUGAUCUCUGUCUCACAGUAUUGAUCUCCUUCUCACAGUAUUGAUCUCUGUCUCACAGUAAUGAUCUCUGUCUCACAGUAAUGAUCUCUGUCUCUGAAUGAUCUCUGUCUCACAGUAUUGAUUAAUGAUCUCUGUCUCACAGUAUUGAUCUCCUUCUCACAGUAUUGAUCUCUGUCUUACAGUAUUGAUCUCUGUCUCACAGUAUUGAUC
This is a long non-coding RNA of Clupea harengus (Atlantic herring), 3580 nucleotides long. The record is from Ensembl. NCBI's taxonomy places the organism in Eukaryota, Metazoa, Chordata, Actinopteri, Clupeiformes, Clupeidae.